Molecule: ribosomal RNA, 660 nt
Filed under: Klebsiella pneumoniae subsp. pneumoniae
Lineage: Bacteria; Pseudomonadati; Pseudomonadota; Gammaproteobacteria; Enterobacterales; Enterobacteriaceae
Description: bacterial SSU rRNA
Rfam family: Bacterial small subunit ribosomal RNA
Source: RNAcentral
AGAGUUUGAUNNUGGCUCAGAUUGAACGCUGGCGGCAGGCCUAACACAUGCAAGUCGAGCGGUAGCACAGAGAGCUUGCUCUCGGGUGACGAGCGGCGGACGGGUGAGUAAUGUCUGGGAAACUGCCUGAUGGAGGGGGAUAACUACUGGAAACGGUAGCUAAUACCGCAUAACGUCGCAAGACCAAAGUGGGGGACCUUCGGGCCUCAUGCCAUCAGAUGUGCCCAGAUGGGAUUAGCUAGUAGGUGGGGUAACGGCUCACCUAGGCGACGAUCCCUAGCUGGUCUGAGAGGAUGACCAGCCACACUGGAACUGAGACACGGUCCAGACUCCUACGGGAGGCAGCAGUGGGGAAUAUUGCACAAUGGGCGCAAGCCUGAUGCAGCCAUGCCGCGUGUGUGAAGAAGGCCUUCGGGUUGUAAAGCACUUUCAGCGGGGAGGAAGGCGAUGAGGUUAAUAACCUCAUCGAUUGACGUUACCCUGCAGAAGAAGCACCGGCUAACUCCGUGCCAGCAGCCGCGGUAAUACGGAGGGUGCAAGCGUUAAUCGGAAUUACUGGGCGUAAAGCGCACGCAGGCGGUCUGUCAAGUCGGAUGUGAAAUCCCCGGGCUCAACCUGGGAACUGCAUUCGAAACUGGCAGGCUAGAGUCUUGUAGAGGG